GAUGAACGCUGGCGGCGUGCUUAACACAUGCAAGUCGAACGGAAAGGCCCAAGCUUGCUUGGGUACUCGAGUGGCGAACGGGUGAGUAACACGUGGGUGAUCUGCCCUGCACUUCGGGAUAAGCCUGGGAAACUGGGUCUAAUACCGGAUAGGACCACAUUUUGGAUGGUGUGGUGGAAAGUUUUUCGGUGUGGGAUGGGCUCGCGGCCUAUCAGCUUGUUGGUGGGGUAAUGGCCUACCAAGGCGUCGACGGGUAGCCGGCCUGAGAGGGUGUACGGCCACAUUGGGACUGAGAUACGGCCCAGACUCCUACGGGAGGCAGCAGUGGGGAAUAUUGCACAAUGGGCGCAAGCCUGAUGCAGCGACGCCGCGUGGGGGAUGACGGCCUUCGGGUUGUAAACUCCUUUCGCUAGGGACGAAGCGUUUUUGUGACGGUACCUGGAGAAGAAGCACCGGCUAACUACGUG
This 467-nucleotide ribosomal RNA is filed under the name uncultured bacterium. RNAcentral's name for it is "partial 16S ribosomal RNA". It matches the Rfam family "Bacterial small subunit ribosomal RNA", at positions 28 to 507 of the family's 1533-position model. The record is from RNAcentral.